GACGUAGGGGGCCAGCGUUGUUCGGAAUUACUGGGUGUAAAGGGUUCGUAGGCGGUGCGGCAAGUUGGGAGUGAAAUCUCUGGGCUUAACCCAGAGGCUGCUUCCAAAACUGCUGUGCUUGAGUGUGGGAGAGGCGCGUGGAAUUGCAGGUGUAGCGGUGAAAUGCGUAGAUAUCUGCAGGAACACCCGUGUCGAAAGCGGCGCGCUGGACCUCUUCUGACGCUGAGGCGCGAAAGCCAGGGGAGCAAACGGG
This 253-nucleotide ribosomal RNA is filed under the name uncultured bacterium. RNAcentral describes it as "partial 16S ribosomal RNA". It matches the Rfam family "Bacterial small subunit ribosomal RNA", at positions 524 to 776 of the family's 1533-position model. The record is from RNAcentral.